CGAGUGUUUAAAUAAUAUUUCGCCCAUUGUUACGGUCACAAAUCGAAAUAUCUCUCUUGCAAUUUUCAUCGCAAAAUGAAUAUUGUUUCUUGAGAAUCUGAAACAUAUAACGUAAAAUUAAAGUUAUAUUAGAUAACAAUAAUGAUGAUGAUAACAACCAGCUUUCCCAUGCGGGUCUAUUUUAUCGAAGUGAAGCAAUAUUACUACACAAUACUGAUUAUCCUUUUUUUCUUCUUCCAUUCGUCAUUUCUUAUUUAGUAUGUAUGAAUAAAUGAUAGCCUCGUGUGCGAAAAAAAGCUUUGAGAAAUUGUAGAGAAGACAAUGUUCCAAAAAGUCUCAAAUCUAAAUACUAACUACUGUUCACUCAAGGCUUCACACAAGCGCUUCACAUAACUAAUGAUUCACUUUGACACGUCGUAGGAGUACGAUACGUUGCUAUCUAUAUGUGACAGCAGCUUUGAGUAGAAUGCCACGGGAAAUUGUCGCCGAGUUACGCAUGCACAGGUGUUUCUCAAGAUAUCACGUGUGUCUGCUGCCACAUGUCCGUCUGUUUUUAAUAUCGUUUUUCUGCUCGAGAUCUUUCUUCGACAGUCUUCAAAUAGAUCCAAUUUGAUACUGCCUUGAUCGUAAAAUUUUUUAUUUUUGUUUUUUUCAUAUUCCGUACAUUAUUUGCGCAUAAUAUAUUAUUUGAGUCGUUGCAUAUAAAAUAUCAGCUUGUCAUCAAUAAUCACUGUCAGAUAAGUUUUAAAAAAAAAUAAAA
Linepithema humile (Argentine ant) is the source of this 760-nucleotide long non-coding RNA. RefSeq lists it as uncharacterized. Lineage: Eukaryota; Metazoa; Arthropoda; Insecta; Hymenoptera; Formicidae. The record is from RefSeq and is a predicted model, not a curated record.